Molecule: ribosomal RNA, 254 nt
Filed under: uncultured bacterium
Lineage: Bacteria
Description: partial 16S ribosomal RNA
Rfam family: Bacterial small subunit ribosomal RNA
Source: RNAcentral
UACAGAGGUCCCGAGCGUUGUUCGGAUUCAUUGGGCGUAAAGGGUGCGUAGGCGGCUUCCUAAGUUUGAUGUGAAAUCCUGGGGCUCAACCCUGGAACUGCAUUGAAUACUGGGAGGCUAGAGUACUGGAGAGGAAACUGGAAUUUACGGUGUAGCAGUGAAAUGCGUAGAGAUCGUAAAGGAAGACCAGUGGCGAAGGCGAGUUUCUGGACAGUUACUGACGCUGAGGCACGAAGGCCAGGGGAGCAAACGGG